Molecule: ribosomal RNA, 224 nt
Filed under: uncultured bacterium
Lineage: Bacteria
Description: partial 16S ribosomal RNA
Rfam family: Bacterial small subunit ribosomal RNA
Source: RNAcentral
UGGCGCACGGGUGAGUAACACGUGAAUAAUCUACCUCCGAGUGGGGAAUAACUGAGAGAAAUCUUAGCUAAUACCGCAUAACACUUACGAGUCAAAGCAGCAAUGCGCUUGGAGAGGAGUUCGCGGCCGAUUAGUUAGUUGGCGGGGUAAUGGCCCACCAAGACGAUGAUCGGUAUCCGGCCUGAGAGGGCGCACGGACACACUGGAACUGAAACACGGUCCAG